Long non-coding RNA from Triticum aestivum (bread wheat), 292 nucleotides. RefSeq lists it as uncharacterized. The transcript is spliced from 3 exons. Lineage: Eukaryota; Viridiplantae; Streptophyta; Magnoliopsida; Poales; Poaceae. The record is from RefSeq and is a predicted model, not a curated record.
AGGCUGCGGGUGUGACAGAGGAGCACCAUGGCGGGCGUGCAGGCCAUCUUUCCCUACCAAGAAUAUUUAGGAUGACAAUCAUUACAAUGCUGGGAGUGGGGCACAUCUUAUGUUCAAGAGGGCCGAGAAAGAUCGGAUUUUGGUUGACAAGAUUCUGGGAAUGGUAGAUGUUUUGACCACGAAAAUCAUAGCUUCGAAAAUGAAAGAGGAAGAGUUCACAUGAUAUGAUGGCGUACGUCUAUUUACUGAUACUUCAUUUCUAAAUGGUGUUUGUGUUUCUUUCUUCCUUGAG